ACAGCAGCCGCCGCGGUAAUACGAAGGGGGCUAGCGUUGUUCGGAAUUACUGGGCGUAAAGCGCACGUAGGCGGAUAUUUAAGACAGGGGUGAAAUCCCGCAGCUCAACUGCGGAACUGCCUUUGAUACUGGGUAUCUUGAGUAUGGAAGAGGUUAGUGGAAUUGCGAGUGUAGAGGUGAAAUUCGUAGAUAUUCGCAGGAACACCAGUGGCGAAGGCGGCUAACUGGUCCAUAACUGACGCUGAGGUGCGAAAGCUAGGGGAGCAAACAGGAUUAGAGACCCCGGUAGUCCCUGUCUCUUAUAC
Molecule: ribosomal RNA, 305 nt
Filed under: uncultured bacterium
Lineage: Bacteria
Description: partial 16S ribosomal RNA
Rfam family: Bacterial small subunit ribosomal RNA
Source: RNAcentral